CAGGGAGACACAACUGAUCGUGAUGUCUGAGCGCCGAGCAAGCGAAAGCUUGGGAAGCACCUUUGUCUCAGGCCACGGUCCUGUCAUCUCGAAGGUCGAUCGGUACCUCAAGGUGAGCCAUCAAAGCCAAGGAAGAAUCCCGAGAGCUCGAAAGAGCAGGACGGAGGAAGCCGAGGAUGUUGUGAUGGACUCGUUUUCAGUUCCUAAACUUUGUCUAGGUCACCCCACCAAGGGUUUUACCAGGCGUUCAACGUGUCCGAUCCCGUCAGGGAGAGGAGAGGAAGGAUGACUGGAGGAACCACUGUCAGAGUGAUUGUUCCUGGGCCAUUAGCUCAGGUGGUUAGAGCGCAGCCCCUGAUAAGGGUGAGGUCCUGUUCAAGUCCAGGAUGGCCCAUUCGUGUUUGGGGGUUUAGCUCAGUUGGUAGAGCGCCUGCUUUGCAAGCAGGAUGUCAGCGGUUCGAGUCCGUAACCUCCAUCCAACCAGGUUAAGACCACAACAUGAAGCUGCAUCAGGAGGAAUUCUGAUGGGUGAAGUGACCGGACAUGUUCAGCUGAGGACUCCAGCCUCCUUUCAUUCCCAAGGAAUGGAUUCACCGAAUCGUGUGAGCCCAUUUGAGAUGGUUGAAAGGAAGCUGGACUCGCCGAUCACCAAUGGCCAAGAGCAUGGAAGCAUGCGCUUGUGACCUGGUGACUCGGUGCAGCCAGCAAAGAACCUUGACAACUGCAUAGGUGAGUCUGGAAAAGAAAGCAUCUCAUGGAUGCCCAGACGGACGUGGAUGGAUCCCGGUACUGCCGGGUGAAGGCUGCGGCUGACUGGGAGAUUCUUGAGUUUAGAGCCGAGAGCUGCCAGCGUCUUUUCGCUCCGCCGAGGAGGGAAGAGUCAGAUUCUGCAUUUCAAACCGCCCUGGCUUGAGUGUGAAAGAAAGCCGCGAAGGCAACUUCAGCGGAAGACCAAAGCAUGAAAGGUGAGGGUAGGUGAAAGCAGGAGAAUGGGUCUCAACAACCCUGAACGCUGGGAGUGUUAAUU
Molecule: transfer RNA, 1027 nt
Filed under: Synechococcus sp. 1Dp66E-1
Lineage: Bacteria; Bacillati; Cyanobacteriota; Cyanophyceae; Synechococcales; Synechococcaceae
Description: 16S-23S ribosomal RNA intergenic spacer
Rfam family: tRNA (bases 404-475)
Source: RNAcentral